GCUUAAUGAAACAAUACUUAACUUCAAUAAAUGGUGACUGAAGGAAUAAAACAAUGAAGAAAGGGUACAAUCACACAAUGAUGUAUUAUGUAGUCAAUAAUUAUAUUUACCUAUAUUGUUUAAUAACAUGCUACAAUGCUCACAACAAAACAAUAUAAUGAAAUAUAGAGAAAUGUUGAAAAACAACAGUGGUAUAUAUAAUAUGACCCCAAUUUUUAAUCCAACACUACCUUGAUAAAUUCAGACUAUUAAUGCAAUUUUUCUUUAGGAUUCAGGACAUUCUUAAAGUGAACAGUCCAAAUUGUAUUUGCUGUCUAGAAAACCAACAGAAGUGUAGCUUAUCAAGGAAAAAGAUGAGAAGCUCCAUAAAAUUAUAAAAAGGAAGCAACAAAUUCCUGAAAAAUUUAGACCAUGUACACAAUCAAUUCAUAUUGUUCAAAGCAUGAGUCCUAAUUAAUUAGAAUAACAGCAGUAACAACUAUUAAGUACCUGCAUUUGGGAAUACUCUUAUUGCCUACCAAAAAGAAAAAUAAAACUACACCAAUUCAUAAUUUAUGCCAUGCAACUAAUGAGAAAUAUUGAGUUACUUUACAAUCCAUCAUUCACCUAUCUGAGCACAUAAUAUUUUUCAGCCCUAUGAAAUACCAAGUUCUUUAAUAGGGCAUGGAGAUCCCAAAGAUGAAUUAGACAGAAAUCUUGCCCUUAAGCAGGUCAAAACCUACUGGGUGAUCCAGGUAGGUAGACACUGACAUUGAAUGUGAUAAGCUCAACACUGAAGUUGUACAUAAAGGCUACGAAGACAGUGCAGCUGUAGGUCUUGGGUAAAUGGGAAAAGUUUUCAGAGAGGUUGAUUCUAGGCUGUCUUAAAAACUGUGAGGAGGUUGCCAAAUAGACAAAGGAGGGAAAGGCAUUCCCAGGAGAGAAUAACAGGUUCAAAAGCUUAGAGAUGGAAGAGGAUGCUUCCAAUCUGGGAAUCCCAGACAUUUUAGUAGAACUAGAAUGCAAGAUACUAGAUCUGUAGAGAAUGGGAAGAGUUGAAGUAAGCAGGGGGAAAAAGUGUCUUAAUGCUAUUCUAAAUAGUUUGGGUUUCAUAGCAGAGAGCCCAGAAAAUAUUUGGGACUGAGUAGUGACAUGAUCUCAUUUGUGUAUCAGAAAGAUUAUUCUAGGAUGAAUUUGGAGGCACUGAGGCUUAUUUUGGAGUUGGACUUAGACCUGCAGACACUUAUCACUGUUAGAUGGGCCCUUCCAAGAGAAUUUGUAAACAGAGAUCUUGCUCUCAGGAAAUUUAACAUUUAAUUCAUAGAACCCAAAAUCACAGCCUACAGAGAAAUGCACUUUCUUAAGGUAAUGUGUUCUGUUUGCCAGCACUUUGACACAAAGAGAAGUGCUGGCUUCAUAGAAAUAAUUAAUCCUCUUUUUCUGCCACUGGGAUAAACAAAGGAAAGAAAGAAAUAGAUGUUAUAAAAAAAUAAAAUCCAAGGCAGAUCAAAGGGGAUGUGGCGGAGGAUUCAGCAACUGCCACCCUUAAGCAAAGAACAGUAAUGAAGAAAUGAGUUUUGGCAGCCUAGCCAAUGGGAUAUGAAAGAAAUUAAUCCCGAAGGGAUGUAAUGACCUGAAAAAAAUGAUGAGCAAAGUCCAGAAGGAUUAGAAGAAAGAAAAAGGCAGCAGACAGGUAAGAGCCAUUUUCUUCUCUGUCUUGUCUAUCUGAAGGAUAUCAGAUAGUCCUCAGCGAUGGGAGCUGUGGAAAAGCAAGCCAAAGAAUUGAUUUGGCAAAGUCAUUUAAAUUUCUUAUUCUUCUUAUUCAUUUUUUCUCGUUAAGGCAAAGAAUGGUACUUUAAUUUACUGUCAUAACACAGGAACUAGCUAUUGAUAAGAUUAACCUUGUUCAAUCAUGAUGAAAUUCAGUAAACUCAGGACACAUUUUUGGAUACUUUGUUUUCCCAGCUAAAGAUAAGAGUUGCUCCUAAGACUCAGACCUUUAGUAUAAUGUACACUGAUGGUUUUUAUUUUUUUCUUUCCAGAAUGGACUUCAGUGCAACAGGGAAUUAAACUGAAAUCAUUAAAUUCUUUCUGCUUAGCACUUUAGAGAAAAUUUCUAUCAGCCUGCCUAAGUGCUCACCAUGGGAAACUGAAACCAGGAAUUUAAUCUCAAAUUUCUGAAGACAUUCAGACUUAUCCAUUGUUCUAUGAAUCAGGAAUAUGUUAACAGAAGUUCUGGUUAUUGAAGAAUCUUCAGAAUGAAAAUCAAAUUAUGAAAUCCCCAGGUAAUUUGACUUCAUGGCCAGCAUUGCAUCUCAGAAUAUUUUUUAUAAGGGCUACAAAAGUGUGACUAUUAAGCUUUUAAAAAAAAUUAAAAUAUCUUUUCAGUUGUAAUAUUCCCACCAUGGGUGAAGUCUGCUGUCUGAUUGCUAGAAUUUUGGCCGAUGCCUUCUUGCACCUCUAUGAACCCGACUCCAGCCCCUCCCCUCUAAUUACUGCCCACAGUGAAGAGAGAAUUUCUGCCCACUCCCUGCAAGCCCAGGUUGGAAAUGUUUGAGGAGGCAUUUAUCAUGAAAGCCGUGGCCUUUGCUCCUAAAGCUUCGUCUCACAAGUACAAUAACAAAAACUGCUAAUUAAAAGAGGGAAAACAACCAGGAGUCAAACACAAAGGGGCAUCCCUGCCUCAUCAGCACAGAACAAUCGACCGGCUCCCUUCACUGCCCAUGCGAGGCUCCAUGUGAGGAAGCCUGCUCUGCCCUUCCAGUACAGCUCAGGACUAAUUUGAAGACAAGAAACGAUUCCAGUGCCUUGUAAAUUGCGAUCCACAUUGCAACUCCUAGCAGCCACAGUUCAGCAC
This 2836-nucleotide long non-coding RNA is filed under the name Homo sapiens (human). RNAcentral's name for it is "HSALNT0140418". The record is from RNAcentral. Lineage: Eukaryota; Metazoa; Chordata; Mammalia; Primates; Hominidae.